GGUAUUGCCCUUAGCAAAGAGAAAUUGAUUACACGGAAAGGAAAGAUAUUUACUUUAACCAAAGUUAUUGAAGAUGUUGAACUAUGUUACAAAUCAUGUCCACAAUGUGGACUGAUAUACCGAUAUCAGGAGUAUACGGAUGGGCUUCAUAACUUUGACGAUUACCAUUGCUUUAGUCUAAGCUUCCUGUUGCUGUUACGAGCAUUUGUCGAGGAGCAUACAGCAUUAGGAAGAGUCGCAUCAGCAGUU
This is a long non-coding RNA of Dendronephthya gigantea, 249 nucleotides long. RefSeq lists it as uncharacterized. The record is from RefSeq and is a predicted model, not a curated record. The transcript is spliced from 3 exons. NCBI's taxonomy places the organism in Eukaryota, Metazoa, Cnidaria, Anthozoa, Malacalcyonacea, Nephtheidae.